Molecule: ribosomal RNA, 383 nt
Filed under: uncultured eukaryote
Lineage: Eukaryota
Description: partial 18S ribosomal RNA
Rfam family: Eukaryotic small subunit ribosomal RNA
Source: RNAcentral
CAAUAGCGUAUAUUAAAGUUGUUGCAGUUAAAAAGCUCGUAGUUGGAUUUCUGGUGGGAGCGAUCGGUCUGGCGCUUAGCGCGAGUACUUGCAACGUCUCCGGCCAUCCUUGGGGAGAGUCUGUCUGGCAUUAAGUUGUCGGGCAGAGGAUCCUCAUCGUUUACUGUGAAAAAAUUAGAGUGUUCAAAGCAGGCUUAUGCCGUUGAAUAUAUUAGCAUGGAAUAAUAAGAUAGGACUUUGGUACUAUUUUGUUGGUUUGCGCACCAAAGUAAUGAUUAAUAGGGACAGUUGGGGGUAUUCGUAUUCCGUUGUCAGAGGUGAAAUUCUUGGAUUUACGGAAGACGAACUACUGCGAAAGCAUUUACCAAGGAUGUUUUCAUUAA